UAGAUUAGUAGGUUCUGGGGUUUGAUAACAGAUGGAUGGAGCUGUGCUGGUUAGAUUAGUAGGUUCUGGGGUCUGAUAACAGAUGGAUGGUGCUGUGCUAGUUAGAUUAGUAGGUUCUGGGGUCUGAUAACAAAUGGAUGGAGCUGUGCUGGUUAGAUUAGUAGGUUCUGGGGGUUGAUAACAGAUGGACGGUGCUGUGCUGGUUAGAUUAGUAGGUUUUG
Long non-coding RNA from Astyanax mexicanus (Mexican tetra), 221 nucleotides. RefSeq lists it as uncharacterized. Lineage: Eukaryota; Metazoa; Chordata; Actinopteri; Characiformes; Acestrorhamphidae. The record is from RefSeq and is a predicted model, not a curated record. The transcript has 3 exons.